This is a non-coding RNA of Phascolarctos cinereus (koala), 196 nucleotides long. NCBI's taxonomy places the organism in Eukaryota, Metazoa, Chordata, Mammalia, Diprotodontia, Phascolarctidae. The record is from RefSeq and is a predicted model, not a curated record.
UCUACAUGAACUUUCUCACACAUAGAACUUGAACCAAGAUGAAUAGGUUUGGUGUAGAUUACAAGCUCAGAAAAGAAGUAAACUCCAGAGCAAAGGAAUGUGUCUCACCGUGUGAGGACAACAAGGGUUAGACUCUCCUGAAAUGAACCUUCCUUAGUGACAAGGAAAAAUUGUUAAGUGAAAACAACUCUCACGG